This 253-nucleotide ribosomal RNA is filed under the name uncultured bacterium. RNAcentral's name for it is "partial 16S ribosomal RNA". It matches the Rfam family "Bacterial small subunit ribosomal RNA", at positions 524 to 776 of the family's 1533-position model. The record is from RNAcentral.
UACAGAGACUGCAAGCGUUAUUCGGAUUCACUGGGCGUAAAGGGUGCGCAGGCGGCCAAGUGUGUGAGGCGUGAAAGCCUGGGGCUUAACCCCAGAAUUGCACCUCAAACUAUUUGGCUAGAGCAUUGGAGAGGGUAGCAGAAUUCAUGGUGUAGCAGUGAAAUGCGUAGAUAUCCGGAGGAACACCGGUGGCGAAGGCGGCUUCCUGGACCGACACUGACGCUGAGGCGCGAAAGCUAGGGGAGCAAACGGG